UAGGGAAUAUUGGGCAAUGGAUGCAAGUCUGACCCAGCCAUGCCGCGUGCAGGAAGACGGUCCUCUGGAUUGUAAACUGCUUUUGACAGGGAAGAAAAAAAGGCAUGCGUGCUUUAUUGACGGUACCUGCAGAAUAAGCCACGGCUAACUACGUGCCAGCAGCCGCGGUAAUACGUAGGUGGCAAGCGUUGUCCGGAUUUAUUGGGUUUAAAGGGUGCGUAGGCGGGUUGUCGCGUCUGCUGUGAAAAU
This 249-nucleotide ribosomal RNA is filed under the name uncultured organism. RNAcentral describes it as "partial 16S ribosomal RNA". It matches the Rfam family "Bacterial small subunit ribosomal RNA", at positions 355 to 601 of the family's 1533-position model. The record is from RNAcentral.